RNAcentral lists this ribosomal RNA (253 nucleotides) under uncultured bacterium. RNAcentral describes it as "partial 16S ribosomal RNA". It matches the Rfam family "Bacterial small subunit ribosomal RNA", at positions 524 to 776 of the family's 1533-position model. The record is from RNAcentral.
UACGUAGGUGGCGAGCGUUGUCCGGAUUUAUUGGGCGUAAAGCGCGCGCAGGCGGCGCGGUAAGUCCGAUGUGAAAGCGCCCGGCUCAACUGGGCGAGGUCAUUGGAGACUGCCGUGCUGGAGGGUGGCAGAGGCCGGUGGAAUUCCCGGUGUAGUGGUGAAAUGCGUAGAGAUCGGGAGGAACACCAGUGGCGAAGGCGGCCGGCUGGGCCAUACCUGACGCUGAGGCGCGAAAGCGUGGGGAGCGAACCGG